CUGGCCGUUUCACUGGGUUCUACCCGAGAGCCAUGAACGUUGUCCAGCCUCAGUGACCCACAAAUCACCAGCGUCCCACGUGCUGGUCAGCAGCUCACGGCCCCUCCGCCUCACUCCAUCU
Molecule: non-coding RNA, 121 nt
Organism: Ceratotherium simum simum (southern white rhinoceros)
Lineage: Eukaryota; Metazoa; Chordata; Mammalia; Perissodactyla; Rhinocerotidae
Source: RefSeq, a predicted model, not a curated record